GGUCUUCUAUCGCCCUCUCACUCUCUCUCUCUCUCUCUCUCUCGCUCUCUCUCAUAGCUCUUUGCGGUCAUGCCUAUUAAUCAAUUUCAAAACCUUUCUAUUUUCUUUCUAUUCUUUUCUAGGCAACCAAACAAAGUUCUUGACUAGGUUUUUUAUUUUUAUUUUUAUUUUUUUUUAUGAUUUUCGUUUUGAUUUCCUCAUCAAGAUCAUCGCCAUCGAAUUGAUUUCACCGUCUCGCUCCUCCUUCAGCAAUUCACCGUUCUCCAAUUUCGGCAGUUAUAUGGUGGAGAAGAAUAGGAAACUUCAGAACAAGUUUGAAGCCGAAGCUUCGACUUCUUCUCAUGGUGGUUCGGGUUCUGUGAAGCCUAUAUUCGAUGGGGUUUCCAUCUUUGUCGAUGGUUUCACGGUUCCUUCCAGUCAGCUGGCCUUGAUUUGGGACCAAGCCUUAGGGAAAUUUGUGCUGCAAACAGGACAGAUGAAAAGCAGCAAAUAAAAGCACUUCUUCAGAGUGUUGGCACUUCCUUUUGCCCUGACUAUUCAGAUUGGUUUGGGGAUGAAGAAGCUGGUGACACCCAUUCAAGAAAUGCGGAUAAAUCUGUUCUUUCAAAAUUUUUACAAUCUUAUCCUGCUGAUUAUUCAACUACCAAAUUGCAGGAAAUGAUGCGCUUGAUGAGAGAAAAACGUUUCCCUGCUGCAUUUAAAUGUUACCAUAACACUAUAAAAAUUGCCUCACUGUUAAGUUUGGAUGGGUAGAAUCAAAUAUAUUCGUAGCUAAUGCUUUGGUAGAUUUUUAUUCUGCUUGUGGAAGUUUAGUUGAUGCAAAAAAAUCAUUUGAUAGUAUUCCAGUGGAGGAUGUGAUUUCAUGGAAUUCAAUUGUUGCAGUCUAUGCAGAUAAUGGUUUAUUGCAUGUUUUAAGCACAAAUACUAAGUUCAUUGUCAUCUACGGUUGCUCAAAGAAGAAAAAAUACUUUUAACUUUUGAUAACCCCAACUAGUAAAAAGGUAAAGGAUGCUUUUGUGUGUGUGUGUGCGCGCGCAUGCUUUUGGGUUGACUUGUUCUGAUCUGAAUCAUCUGAUUGGGAUGUUUAUAGGAUGACAUAUUGUCUUAGAGAAUCCUACGAAUAAGAUGUUGUUGAUGCACAUUUGUGGUUAAC
RNA transcript from Quercus lobata, 1153 nucleotides. It is a transcript of the gene named DNA repair protein REV1-like, with no coding region annotated. The transcript has 5 exons. NCBI's taxonomy places the organism in Eukaryota, Viridiplantae, Streptophyta, Magnoliopsida, Fagales, Fagaceae. The record is from RefSeq and is a predicted model, not a curated record.